RNAcentral lists this ribosomal RNA (253 nucleotides) under uncultured bacterium. RNAcentral's name for it is "partial 16S ribosomal RNA". It matches the Rfam family "Bacterial small subunit ribosomal RNA", at positions 524 to 776 of the family's 1533-position model. The record is from RNAcentral.
UACGUAGGGGGCAAGCGUUGUCCGGAUUUAUUGGGCGUAAAGAGCGUGUAGGCGGCCAUACAGGUCCGUUGUGAAAACUCGAGGCUUAACCUCGAGACGUCGAUGGAAACCGUAUGGCUAGAGUCCGGAAGAGGAGAGUGGAAUUCCCGGUGUAGCGGUGAAAUGCGCAGAUAUCGGGAAGAACACCCGUGGCGAAGGCGGCUCUCUGGGACGGUACUGACGCUGAGACGCGAAAGCGUGGGGAGCAAACAGG